This 407-nucleotide ribosomal RNA is filed under the name Verrucomicrobiota bacterium. Its description in RNAcentral is "Verrucomicrobia bacterium partial 16S ribosomal RNA". It matches the Rfam family "Bacterial small subunit ribosomal RNA", at positions 355 to 776 of the family's 1533-position model. RNAcentral also lists the same sequence under 1 other name. Lineage: Bacteria; Pseudomonadati; Verrucomicrobiota. The record is from RNAcentral.
UGGGGAAUAUUGGACAAUGGAGGAAACUCUGAUCCAGCAAUUCUGUGUGUGUGAAGAAGGUUUUAGGACUGUAAAACACUUUUAGUAGGGAAGAAAAAAAUGACGGUACCUACAGAAGAAGCAACGGCUAAAUACGUGCCAGCAGCCGCGGUAAUACGUAUGUUGCGAGCGUUAUCCGGAAUUAUUGGGCUUAAAGGGCAUCUAGGCGGUUAAACAAGUUGAAGGUGAAAACCUGUGGCUCAACCAUAGGCUUGCCUACAAAACUGUAUAACUAGAGUACUGGAAAGGUGGGUGGAACUACACGAGUAGAGGUGAAAUUCGUAGAUAUGUGUAGGAAUGCCGAUGAUGAAGAUAACUCACUGGACAGCAACUGACGCUGAAGUGCGAAAGCUAGGGGAGCAAACAGG